UGGGAGUUGUAGUCCGAAAACAUCUGGUGGGCCGAGUUUGCCUAUGCCUGCACCAGGGCAUUAAUGUGCAUGUGAGUUGCAUAGAUCUGAUUUUUCAGUGUGCAUUUUUUUGUGUGUGCACUUUUGCCCACAAAUUUAAAUCUCUCUGUGUUUCCCUUCCACAUUGGGCAGAGCUUGACUGGAUGCAUUUGUGCUGUGUGGUGUUGCCUCCUCCCUUCAGUUGGAACUUUCCUGAUUCCUGCAAGUUCUGGAAAUCUGAGACCCAUUGUAGGUGUGCGUGCAGGUAUUUGUUUACCUGUUUUGCCUCUAAUUGCAUGACAACAAACUUCCACCCUAGCCAAUGUUUCGUAGCAAAUGAGCCAGAUUUUAAUUUUAAUGUUUUUUGAAAUACAAGUUGUUUUUUUGUUCCACCAGAUUUGUGCAAGAUAGCAGCUCUCCCAUCCCUCGAAAAGUGUUUUUUGAGGUAGAGAACCAGCAGCCCACCACCUUAUGAGGCCGAAUAACAACCAGGCAGGUGGAAUUACUGGCGCCCCCGAUCUGCAGACCCUUCCAAUACAGAGCGCUGUGAGUCAGCUCAGAGAAGAGCCUAAAACUGUGCAUUUAACGCACAAGCACAACACACUAAGGCAAGACAGAGAAAGUGAUUUGUGCAAGCCUGUUUUCCCCCCGCACCCUGCCCGUUUUUCCUUUCCUGCCUCCUGUACCUGCAGAGGCCAUUUUUAUUUUUAAUACAUCGUGGUUUUUCGAAUGAGCGUUUUGAAAACAAUAAAUACUGCAAACGUGCCUUCAGCAGCGACAGAAGGAGGUAGACACCCUGGAGCCUUUACUGUGAACUGGUGGGGAAAUGGCUAGGGCUGUGCUCAGCUGAUGAGCAAAACACAAGUGGGCAUUUUGUCCUAAGAGUGCACUUGGUGUGGCAAGUCCCCACACUUGUUGCUUCGGUGCAUCUCCGUUCAAGUAGCAAGUCAUUUUACGUUGGAUUGUUUUCUUUCACCGAAUUAUCCAGAUUGGAGAAAUCCAAAUUAGUUGGAGCGGAAAGUGCAGGUUAGCCACUUGAACGAGGAUGAUACAUGAAUGGUGUGGAAGUUUGCAUACAUGGGAUGCCCUGAGUCCACUUUAAACUGCCACAUGUACAUGCCCUAAGUAAGCUUCCUUCCAUACCAGCCCUUUUCUGUGAAACGGCUUUUGCUAUGUUACAUUUUACAGAGAGUCCAGAGGUGCAAAUCUCUGCAACCCUGUGUUUGUAUGUUUUUUCAGCCAUGAUUCGUAACGGAUUCUAUUUACUUUUGCAAUAAAAUGUGCAACUGCAGCACUGUCCUACGUGGAGUGGAAAAGAUCUGAGGAAGCUUCUGGGGGGUUCUUACGCUUUUAAUUAAAAGUUUCCUUUUUGCAGGUCCUACGUGUUUUAUUAAAGGGACGUAGGUGGUGCUGUGGGUUAAACCACAGAGCCUAGGACUUGCCGAUCAGAAGGUUGGCGGUUCGAAUCUCCGCGAUGGGGUGAGCGCCCGUUGCUCGGUCCCUGCUCCUGCCAACCUAGCAGUUUGAAAGCACAUCAAAGUGCAAGUAGAUAAAUAGGUACCGCUCUGGCGGGAAGGUAAACGGCGUUUCCGUGCACUGCUCUGGUUUGCCAGAAGCGGCUUAGUCAUGCUGGCCACAUGACCCAGAAGCUGUACGCCAGCUCCCUUGACCAAUAAAGCGAUAUGAGUGCUGCAACCCCAGAGUCGGCCACGACUGGACCUAAUGGUCAGGGGUCCCUUUACGUUUUACUUUUACAUGUUUUAUUGCUUCUGGUUGAUCAAGGUUGCAGAAUUAGUGAAGAAUAGCCUCUUAAUGCCCUCAAUGUCCGUUUCUGUUCCUGUGGCUGAAGGUGGGGUGAUUCUUCUAACACCAAAAUGAGGCUCUUUUACUACUUCUUCUUUUUAGGGUUAAAAUGAGGAACUCAAUCAUCAAACCUACCCCCAGCCACUAAAAGUGACAUUGGGGGAAUUGAGGGACUAUCCAUUGUUAAUCCCCCAGCUUCAAUCAACCAGAAGCAACUAAAAAGGGAGGGCUUGCCAACAGGAAACUCUUCAUUAAUGUUGCAGACAACCUUUCAUAAAUGGGAACUAGUUUUAAGUAAAUACAGAAGAACCCUUGUCAUGGGGAAUGAGUAUCACUGGGUUACUAGCAUUACCUUAAGGAAUGUGCAGAACCUGCAUUUCAAAUUCACUUCCAGCUAAUCACAGACAAGCAAAGCCUCAGCAGGACUCUAGUGUGGAUGCAAGCAACCUAAAUUCCUGCCCUAAGCAGCAACACCCACAUUCUAUCAAACUGUCUCCACCAGAUCCCUCUCUAAUCCUUUCUUCAAACCUCCCAAGGAAGGAGAACAGUGGGCUCCUGUUCUGCCGGUGAUAUUUCCCCCUAUUUAAAUCUAGUUUCCUUUUAGUGCUGGGCAACUGUUUGGCCACAACUUGCUGCGGUGAUCUGUGCAGGUUUAGGAAUAAUGUGAUCCACCCCAAUUUAAGGCUGUGCAGCGGCUCAAAGUUUCAAGAGGAACAAACAUUUUUGAGAAAGCCAUAGAACAGGUAU
RNAcentral lists this long non-coding RNA (2568 nucleotides) under Podarcis lilfordi (Lilford's wall lizard). Lineage: Eukaryota; Metazoa; Chordata; Lepidosauria; Squamata; Lacertidae. The record is from RNAcentral.